UACGGAGGGGGCUAGCGUUGUUCGGAAUUACUGGGCGGAAAGCGCACGUAGGCGGGUUAUUAAGUCAGGGGUGAAAUCCCGGAGCUCAACUCCGGAACUGCCUUUGAUACUGGUAAUCUAGAGAUCGGAAGAGGUGAGUGGAAUUCCCAGUGUAGAGGUGAAAUUCGUAGAUAUUGGGAAGAACACCAGUGGCGAAGGCGGCUCACUGGUCCGAUACUGACGCUGAGGUGCGAAAGCGUGGGGAGCAAACAGG
Molecule: ribosomal RNA, 253 nt
Filed under: uncultured bacterium
Lineage: Bacteria
Description: partial 16S ribosomal RNA
Rfam family: Bacterial small subunit ribosomal RNA
Source: RNAcentral